RNAcentral lists this transfer RNA (65 nucleotides) under Sadoletus valdezi. Its description in RNAcentral is "tRNA-His". The record is from RNAcentral. Lineage: Eukaryota; Metazoa; Arthropoda; Insecta; Hemiptera; Heterogastridae.
AUUUAGAUAGUUUAAUUUAGAAUGGAAGUUUGUGGUGCUUUAGGUGUUAUUUAUAACUCUAAAUU